CUUGCAGUGGUUCUGUGAACUUUAAACGUAUUGUAAAAUAAAUUUGGUUGAACAGCUUGCAAGCCAUUCGCAUUUUAAAAUAAUGUAAAAAAAAAUAAUAUAAUAAAACCAAGACCAGUAAAGAGAUGGCGAUUAUAGUCAAGAUAUCUUAAAUGCAAGACUAGAUACUCAUUAGACGUAAUUAUCCUUUGAUAAAAUGAAAAGUCCAAUUCAUCAGAUAUUAACCUGUGAUGACAAAUGACCUGCAAAUCGUUGGACAGAAAAUCUAAAUGUAAGGUAUUAGACCGGAAAUAUAUUAGAAAAUAUCAUUUAGUAUAGGGAAGCAUUUGUUAACCGCUGGAAAAUACGACAGACAUGAAGGUAUAAUAAAGAGGAAAAAAAAAACACUUAAUAGUUAAUUCUUACUUCGAAUCGAGGGAUCCUGGUUCGAAUCUUUGUGAAGAGUGUUAUUUUUACUUUCGGGAUUUUUAGGGCACCUCUGAGUAUACCCAGCUCUAAAUGGGUACCUGACAUUAGUUGGGUAAAAAGUAAAGGCGGUUGGUCGUUGUGCUGGCUACAUGACACCCUCGUGAACCGUAGGUCAAGGAAACAGAUGAUGUUAUCACCAUUUGCCCUAUAAACCACAAGGUCUGAAAGGGAACUUGAGUUUUUUUUAUAUUGUUAUAGUAAUUGUUAUACAUAAUGUUUGUUCUUUGUUUCUAGCAUUCACUGCUGUCCUGACUCAGGCCCAUUGUCCAUCUAUCUGCCCCUUGAUCUACUACCCUGUGUGUGCCAGCAAUGAUCGGACGUUUGAUAAUGAAUGUCAAAUGCAAGCCUACUCGUGUCGACAACAUCUGAGCCUUACAAAGAAACACGAUGGUCCUUGCUAAAACACUUCAUAUGAAGGAACACUACUCACAUUUAUUCAAAUUAAUGUCGACCUAUUUUCUGAAAAA
Biomphalaria glabrata is the source of this 935-nucleotide long non-coding RNA. RefSeq lists it as uncharacterized. The transcript has 2 exons. Lineage: Eukaryota; Metazoa; Mollusca; Gastropoda; Planorbidae. The record is from RefSeq and is a predicted model, not a curated record.